This 3829-nucleotide small RNA is filed under the name Mytilus galloprovincialis (Mediterranean mussel). Lineage: Eukaryota; Metazoa; Mollusca; Bivalvia; Mytilida; Mytilidae. The record is from RNAcentral.
CAGUAAUGAUUUUGUUUCACAUUGGUAGCGCAAAAGGGGGAUGGUUAAUUUUUUACUACAACUGAAUCAAAUGAAGAAUAGCAUUACUUUUUUUUUCAGUAAACUGAUAUGGCGGAACUUUGCCGUUUAUGUAGUUCUACUAUUCCACACACUAAGAAUCAUUUGCCAUAUGAUAAAUCAAGAUUUUCAAGGGAUAUAAAACUUGCCUUAAAAGUUGAUAUAGAACAAGACACAACUAGUCAUCCACAGUAUAUUUGUGAGUCAUGCAGAAUGAAAUUAAGGCGCUGGAGAAAGAACUUUAAUAAUCGGAAAGUAAAUUUAAAGCCGAUUAAUAUCAAUGUAAACUAUCAAAUAUCUAACACUGCUGAAAUUAAUUGGGAACAAAUUCAGCAACACGCAGUCAACCUUGGAUUCACUCUUUGUAAUGACAGCAGUCGUAGAUAUUUUAUGAAAAUUAAUGAUGGGGAGGUGCAGUUUUCACUUCAGUUUGAAAACAACGGAGAAUACACUUUGAAGGUUUUGGGUCAUGUUGUGAAUGACCAAUCUCUGUACAGUUUUCCACUGACUUCAACAAAGCAUAUAACAAAUGCGCUUGCGAUAUUAGGUUCCAAAAAAUUAUGCAUGGGAAAUGAUGAUUUUGAAGAUGUCUGCAGAAACCGUAAUGCAGAAAAUCUAGCCACUUUUGUCAAUGCCGAAGGAGAAACAAGUGCAUUAGAAGAGCUCUACAAAAAUAGAAAACUAGUAAGAACUGUUAACUGUUUACGACUUUGUGCUGCAAGUGAAGACAGAUGUAAUGUUUGUCAAAUGUAUAGAACAUUUCUAUAUAUGUGUAGAACCCGGCUGCGUUCCGCCAUGUCAAAACCCAAACUGACACAUAGACUAGAUUAUAUGAAUUCAAACAUGUUACGAGAAAGAUGUCUCAAUUCACGUGAUGAAAUUAGAGGCCUGAAGAGAAGGAUUAAUGCUCUGGUUGAACAGAUACAUACUGACUGUACUAAAAAUGGCAUUGAACUGGAAGAUGGACUUUCAACAUCAUUUGUUAAGAUAAUGCAGGACAACAAAAAUGCUGCGCUACAGAACUUCCAGGAGGGUUCCAUACAACAUCUUCUAUGGCAGCAGCAGCUUGAGGCAGCAACACAAAUAGACUCGAGGCAAAUGAGAUGGCAUCCCAUACUUUUACGAUGGUGCAUCGCACUUCAUGCCAAGUCACCUUCAGCAUAUAAGAUGAUGAAAAACAGCAAAAUCCUAACUCUUCCUUGCGAAAAUACUCUAAGAGAUUAUACAAAAUUCACAGAUGCUGGUAGUGGAUGGAAUUCAGAUGUAAUUGAGAGAAUUAUAAUGGAUCAUGAAGUUGAUGAAAACGCUUUGAAAAGUGAAGUGAGCUUGCUCUUUGAUGAAGUUAAAAUAAAAUCAGGACUGGUCUAUUGUACUGAAACCGGGAAAUUAAUAGGAUUUUGUGACUUAGGAACAGUGAAUAACGAACUCUAUGCUUACAAUGCCAAAGAAAAAAGAGUACCAGAACUAGCAACACAUAUUUUAGCGAUCAUGAUAAGAGGAAUAUUUAGCCGUAUAGAAUGUGUAGUAGCCCACUACCCAUGCAAAGGGUUUAGCAGCGAUCAACUGUUUGUUUCAAUAUGGGAAGGUGUUGGCCUAUUAGAGGGUUAUGGUUUUAAAGUAAGGGCUUUGAUCUGUGAUGGUGCAACACCGAACAGGAAAUUCUAUAGGUAUCACGGCAAUGGUCAGGAUAUUUGUCACCGAACAGUUAAUCCAUUCAAUCGUAAAAGACAUUUAUACUUUAUAUGUGACACGCCACACCUUCUCAAGACCACUAGAAAUAAUUUUGAAAACUCUGGAUGGAACAACAAAACAAGAAAUUUGCAUGUGAGUUCAAAUUGAUUAUGCAGAGCUAGUUUUUCUAAUACUUCAUAGCAACUUUUAAAUAUAUUAUCUUCGAUUAAAAGCAACAUGCUUUUACUUUUCUUUUUUUUUUAAAUACUAGGAGUCGUUAAAUAAAUAUGUCAGAAAAAAACAUCGCAAAAUAUAGCAGAUCUGACCUCAACACCAAGAGUGUGAAUAUAUAUUUAUAUGUAUAUAUAAAGUGCCUAGAAAAUCAAUCAAAGAUUUAGAUUUGAUUCUUUACUUCCUCUUGCGGCGGGGCUGGAACCUGCACUUUUAUUUUAAUAUGUAAACUUGUAUAAACUAUGACUGUCUCUAUUUAUAUUUCAGUUUAAUGGUUUACCAAUUAAAUGGUCUCAAAUUGUUCGCCUAGUUGAAGAUGAUAUUCAUGGUAUGGGUUUGAGGCUUUUGCCAAAGCUGACAUAUGAACAUAUUCAUCUAACACCUACUCUUAGAAUGCGUGUGAAGCUUGCUGUCCAGGUAUGUUUUUGAAAUCUGUUAAACAGUGCACAUAAGCAUCGACAAUGCAUUUAUAAAAUUUAUAUAAAGUUAAUGGUUAAUCAUUUGAUUUCUUUCUCCUUUUUUGUCUAAAUACAUAAUACAAAUUUAAUUUCUUUAAAUAAAAGACAAUCAGCACCCCCCCCCCUUCCACAAACUUCACAUGGAAAUUAAUUCAAGGAGAUGUGGGAUAUGCAUCAAUUGGACAACAACCAAACGACAUAAAGAAACAAAGAAAGAAAUCUGAAUUCCAACUGGAUUUUUUUUUCAUUUAGAUUAUUGUCUUAUACAUUUAUAAAAGCUUUUGUCAUUCAAUUAAUAUCAUUUAUAACUUAUUGCCAUGUUUACUUUUAUUGAAGGUAUUGAGUGGUAGUGUGGCCGCUGCUUUGCAACUACAGAAUCGGGCUGAAACAAAGUCAACUGAAACUUUCAUCCGCAUGUUUGACCAAUUUUUUGACUGUUUGAAUGUCAACAACAUAACAAAUGGGACAUACCAUAGGAAACCAGUAUUAUGCACAUAUACAGAUGUCAAUGAUUGGAGAUUUAAGGUACUUAUAAUAUUUCAAAUCAAUCGAAUACUGUUUAAUGUAAUAUAGAGUGAGGAUCUACAUUGUAAGUUUUUUUAUUGACGAGAAACACUUACCAUUUUUUGCGUAUGAAAAUGAUUAAAUGAGGAUUUUCAGAAUUUAACAAACCAAUAAUUUAAAUUGUUUUUUUUUUCCCAGUGGCUCAUUGAUGAAUUUUUGGGGUUCCUGGAACGUUGGGAAAUGGAAGGGCAACUACACAACAAUCUGACAGCCAAAGAAAAAAAACAGCUCUGCCUUAGUCGAGAAACAUUGGAAGGACUGCGUAUUACAGGUAAAAAGGAAUGCUACAUUAAACGUUUAUAUCCAUGUCAUAUAAAUAUCUUCACGUUCUGAUUAUGCAUUUAAUUUGCCACUGGACAACAGUUGUUUGAUCUUCAAAUUGUUUAAAAUUAGUUAGAUAAUUUUUCUGUUUAAAAUUUAAUUAAUUACAUAAUGAAAAGAAAGAAAGAAGUGACCAUUUAAAAAUAUAGAUUGUAUCUCAUAGGUGCACCUUGUCUCAUUCACUUUUCAAGUCUUAAAAUAAUUUUUGAUAUUAAACUUUGUUCCUUCAUUUUUCAGUGAAAUCGUUUGUAAUGCUUGGAAAAGAAAUGUUAUCACUACCUGGUGUGCAUUUUCUUUUGAGUGAAAAAUUUAAUCAAGAUCCCCUGGAGCAAUACUUUAGCAAACAACGAGGAAUGGGAGGAUUUUGUGACAACCCGACUGUACGCCAAUUUCAGCACAAUGCCCUUCGACUUCAGGUCUCUGGUGCUCCAAGCGUGCUUGCUGCUAGCAGGGGGAACUGCCAAGUUUUUCAUAAUGGACAAUUUAAUGCAUCAACAUUGCAAAGGAGGAAACAUAAUAGACAAUAA